Molecule: ribosomal RNA, 253 nt
Filed under: uncultured bacterium
Lineage: Bacteria
Description: partial 16S ribosomal RNA
Rfam family: Bacterial small subunit ribosomal RNA
Source: RNAcentral
UACGGGGGGGGCAAGCGUUGUUCGGAAUUACUGGGCGUAAAGGGUUCGUAGGUGGCUUGCUAAGUCAGACGUGAAAUCCCUCAGCUUAACUGGGGAACUGCGUCUGAUACUGGCGAGCUUGGGUGCAGGAGAGGAACGCAGAAUUCCAGGUGUAGCGGUGAAAUGCGUAGAUAUCUGGAGGAAUACCGGUGGCGAAGGCGGCGUUCUGGACUGCAACUGACACUGAUGAACGAAAGCCAGGGGAGCAAACGGG